ACUUUACAUGGGUCGGAGUAUAAAAAGGGUAGACUAGUUCGCUUGAAUUCAUCACAAGUUCUUCAAAUAUUUAAAAAAUCACUUUAGGCUUAGCGUCCAAGGCAGUAGCAGCCAAACCACUAGCAGCAAUGGUUCCCCAAAAAAUGUCUUCCGUUUCCCUUUUCCUGGUGGUCGUUUCGCUCUUCGUUCUUAUUAACUUCACUGAUUUCGCUUACUCGCAAAAAGACGGGGCUGCCAAAGACGGGGUUAAGAAUUAUGCAGACUGCGAUUAUGGAUUUGCAAUAGAUAGAGAUGAUACCUGUUCGGGUCUUGCCCAAAAAUGUGGCGUUAGCCUGCAAACACUUUUCCAACACAACAGAAAACUACAAUGGGGAAAUAACUGCGGUCCUAGAUACGGCAGUGGAUUUGUUUGCUGCACUAACUGGAGUAGAGGACGCAAAUAAAGACAAAUUCACAAACAAUAACGAAAAUCAUUUUGGCUUUAUCACUUUAUGAAAUUGAAUGUAAAAUCACUCUCUCCUUAUAUCAUUAUUGAUUGGCCUUCUUUUGCACUUGACAUUAGAUAAUACAUAUUCAUCCUUGUGUUGAAUUUUCCCAAUU
Long non-coding RNA from Daphnia pulex (common water flea), 600 nucleotides. RefSeq lists it as uncharacterized. Lineage: Eukaryota; Metazoa; Arthropoda; Branchiopoda; Diplostraca; Daphniidae. The record is from RefSeq and is a predicted model, not a curated record. The transcript is spliced from 3 exons.